GACGAACGCUGGCGGCGUGCUUAACACAUGCCAGUCGAACGGAAAGGCCCUGCUUUUGUGGGGUGCUCGAGUGACGAACGGGUGAGUAACACGUGAGUAACCUCCCCUUGACGUUGGGAUAACUUCAGGAAACUUGGGUUAAUACCGGAUAGGCGCUCCUGCUCAAUGGUGGUGGUUGGCCAGUUUCGGCGGGUGGGGAUGGACUCGCGGCUUAUCAGCUUGUUGGUUGGGUAGUUGCUUACCAAGGCUUUGACGGGUAGCCGGCCUGAGAGGGUGACCGGCCACAUUGGGAAUGAGAUACGGCCCGGACUCCUACGGGAGGCAGCAGUGGGGAAUAUUGCACAAUGGGCGGAAGCCUGAUGCAGCAACGCCGCGUGCGGGAUGACGGCCUUCGGGUGGUAAACCGCUUUCGCCUGUGACGAAGCGUGAGUGACGGUAAUGGGUAAAGAAGCACCGGCUAACUACGUG
This 468-nucleotide ribosomal RNA is filed under the name uncultured bacterium. RNAcentral's name for it is "partial 16S ribosomal RNA". It matches the Rfam family "Bacterial small subunit ribosomal RNA", at positions 28 to 507 of the family's 1533-position model. The record is from RNAcentral.